UUCUUUAAAGAAACCAUACUGCUUUGACUGAGCAGCUAUUGCUUUUUAUCUCAAUGGUGGACUAUGCUGUCUUCAAUAACUUUUCAGUAGUUUCCCAGUAAAAUUUUUAUGAUUAUUAAAAAGGAAUUAUUUAUUAUAGACUGUGGUUAGCUAGAACUUUUUAAGUAUUGUACACAUUAAGUCUUUUGAUUUGACUGAAGCUAUGGCUCUGACAAACUUUCUCCAAGUAGACUUCCUACAUCUAUCUCGCUUUAUUUUUUUUUUUUUUUACAACAGACAGAACAUGGGGAAAGAAGAGUUUGGUGUGGGGUAAAUAUUCAAUCAUCACUUGAUAAAAGCCAGCUUUAGUUAUUCUACAUUUAGCAAAAUGAAAUGUAUAGGAUUCCACCAUUUAUCACAUGAUGCUUCAUGAAAAAAGUUACAAAUUAAAAUUUUAAAGUAGCUACUAAAUUUUUAACGUGUAUUGUUAGCAGAGUUUUGUGGUUUUUUAAACUGUUACUUGCUUUCUUUAAAAUCUUACAGAGAACCUUCUGCUUUGAAGAACUAUAUUUUGAAAUAUCUGAAUUUACUGACUCCUACUUUAGGCUGUAUCUGGCUUAAGAAUAAAGUGAUAGUUGCUCAGACUUUUUCCAGCAGCAGUAAUUAUAAUUAUCAAUUUCUUUUUUAUUAUAAUUAUCAAUUGAUUUGUUUUCAGGCUUUAAAAGUGGCUAUUGGAGUGGUGCUUCCCAGUUGACUAUUUUAACCACUGGUUAAACAAGACCCAGUGAUUCUGUUGCUCGCUCUACAUGGACAGAAAGGGCAUCAGUACGAUCCCCAGAGGAGCUGAUCUCUGAGCAAACUCUUCUGACCUUGCGGAAAACACAUCCAGCUGAAACUCACAGUGAAAUGGAAACAUACAAGUUAACCACAGAAGUUAAGAAAUAUCCUCAUCUGCAUUGUAUUUCUUUAACGUGGAAAGUUUCUACAUGAGAAGCUGAGCAAUGAAUAACACAGCCUGCAAGCUGAUGCCACUGUGCAACUCUCUUCAUGCUGUUUUUCUCCUUCUUAGAAGCAAUAUUGGACCCCAGCUUGUUUUCAUUUUGCAAGCAAAUUCUGAGUUUUCUUGGUACUGGUCUACCUACCCUGAACUCAUUUCAGAAGAUAAUUGGUUGAGCUUAGGACUGCUGCUGGAAUCUCAGUGUAAAUACGGGUCCCAGUAAAAGGAGGAGAGGGGAUGGAACAGACGCAGACCCAGAGCCUGUUGAGCACUCCAGCCUUGCAGUGGCUGCAUGGUGGUGAUCUCCCCUGGAGCAGGAGUGCCUCCUGAGGCCACUCCUCAAGGUCAAGAGAUCCCUUACCAUCUGGGCAUCUGGUAUCUACAGCAAGGUAAAUGACAUUUUAUGUUAAAUCUAAAGUAUACUGUACACAAGCUAGCUUAAUUAUUAGAAGUGUGAUAAGUAGUGUAGAGUGUUUGACCCCCUUGUUGUCAUUGUUUAGUAACUGUUUAAUCAUCAUCAUUAAAUCACUGUUUAAUAAAACCUUUUGGUUAACCCUACAAUAAUGGC
Molecule: long non-coding RNA, 1544 nt
Organism: Corvus hawaiiensis (hawaiian crow)
Lineage: Eukaryota; Metazoa; Chordata; Aves; Passeriformes; Corvidae
Exons: 4
Source: RefSeq, a predicted model, not a curated record